RNAcentral lists this long non-coding RNA (3143 nucleotides) under Canis lupus familiaris (dog). RNAcentral's name for it is "lncRNA (ENSCAFG00030024820.1)". The record is from RNAcentral. Lineage: Eukaryota; Metazoa; Chordata; Mammalia; Carnivora; Canidae.
AUGGGAACACAGAGGCUCAGAGUACCUUCCCUCAAGAUCUCACACAGAGAAAGCAUAGGGAGUCGGACAUUCAUCCCAGCUGUCUGGCUUUUCCUAGAAGUUGCUUCCCCCUCUGAUGCUGUGAGGUUCAACAACAGGAUAACUUCCAUUGAAUGGCCACCAUUUUACCAAGAUCUUCGAUUUUCUCCUUCAUCUCCAAUAGCAACCUUAUAUGAAUUUGGAAUUAUUUUUAUUUUCAUCGCAUAGAUGAAGAAACCAAGACUGAUAGAUUGAAUAGCUUGCCCAAAGCCCUGUGACUGGGAAGAAGGGAGACAGCAAGGUGGAAAGGUGGAGUGUAUGGGAUUUGGAUGGAUAAACCAGAAAGGAUUCCUGGUUUAUGUCCUGUACUAGUUUUCUAUUGCUGCAAAGUAAAUAACCACAAACCUAGAGGCUUAACACAACACACACUUAUUAUAUCACAGUGGCUUAGGAGUCUAGACUCUGCUUCAGAGUCUCUUAUAAGGCUGCAAUCAAGACAUUGACAAGGGCUUGGGUCUCACCUGAGUGUUAUAAAGGACCUGCUUUCAAACCCAUCUGAUGGUUGGCAAUAUUCAGUCUCUGAAGGCUUAUCACACUGAUGGUCUCAAUUUCUUGCCUUUUUUUUUUUUUUUUUUUUUUUUUUUUAUCAUAUGAGCCCCUACACAUGGCAACUUGCCUCUUCAAAGCCAGCAAGGGAGACAGUAUGCUAGCAGGAUGGACAUUAUGAUCUUAUGCAAAAUAAUCACCUUUGCCAUAUUCCAUUGGUUAGAACAAAUCAUGGAUCCUACCCACACUCAAGGGGAAGGAAUUACACAGGAUAAGAACACCGGAGGUGGCAUCAUGGAUCAAAGGAGGCCAUCUUAAAGCUGUCUGCCACAUAUCCUCUCUACACUUCUCCCUGAUAAAUCAACCUUUCGGUGUCUCAGUUUCCUUACUUGUAAAAUGGAGACUCUAAAGUUGUAACAGAGAUUAGAUGUGUGAAUCUUUGUAAACUGCUUCAAAUAAUGCCUAGUACAUAGCUAACAUCACCAAAAAAAAGUUUGUUAAAUUAAUAAAUACCAGAACUAGAAUCCAGACCCAGAUUUGAAGGCUCUAAAAAGUCCAUGCACUGGGUAAUCAAGCUUUUGAAGAGAUAUUAGAAAAUUAGAAUAAGCAAAAGAAAGGAAAAUUAUUCCCAUUCAAAAUCCCAGCAACCCAAUCAAAAUCCCAGCAAGUUAUUUUGUGGCUAUUGAGAAACUGAUUUUAAGGUUUAUUUAUAUGGAGAGGGAAGAUACCCAGAAUAGUGAACACAAUAUUGACAAAGAAGGUCCAAGUUGGAGGACAGACAUUACCUGACAUCAAGACUUACUAUAAAGCAACUAUAAUCAAGACAAGGUAGUAUUGGUGAAAGAAUACAUAAAAGAUCAAUGCAACAGAAUAGAGAGCCAGAAAUAGACUCAUACAAAUAUGCUCAACUGAUCUUUGACAAAGGGGCAAAAGCAAUUUGGGGGAGAAAGGCUAGUCUUUUCAGCAAAUGGUGCUGAAACAACUGGACAUCCAUAUGCAAAAAUUAAAAAAAAAAAGAUUCCAAACAUAGAUAAUAUGCCUUUCACAAAAAUUCACUCAAAAUGGAUCAUAGACUGUAAAAUGCAGAAUUAUAAAACUCCUGGAAAGAUUAAAAAUAAAAAUAAUAAAACUCCUAGAAGACAAUAGAAAAUCUAGAUAACUUGGGUGGGUGAUGACAUUUUAGAUUCAAUAUCAAAAGCAUGAUCUACAAAAGAAAUAAAUUGCCAAGUUGGACUCCAUUAAAAUUAAAAACUUCUACUAUGCGAAAGGCAUUAUUAAGAGAAUAAGAAGAUAAAUCACAGGUGUGAUAAAAUCUUUGCAAGGCACAUAUCUGGUAAAGGGUUGGUAUUCAGAAUAUACAAAGAGCUUUUAAAGCUCAACAAUAUGAAAGCAAACAACCCAAAUAAGAAAUGGACAAAACAAAACAAAACAAAAAAAUGGACAGAAGAUCUAGAUAGACACCCCACCAAAGAAGAUACAUAGAUGGGAUCCAAGCAUUUGAAAAGAUGCCCAACAUCAAGCUUAUUGGAAAAUGCAAGUUAAUACAAUAAGUAAAUACUAAUACAUACCUAUUAGGAUGGCUGAAACCCAGAACAUGGGCAACACCAAAUGCUGGUGAGGAUGUGGAGCAAUAGAAACAUUUAUUCAUUGCUGGUGAAAAUACAAAAUGGUGCAACCACUUUGGAAGACAGUACUGGUGGUUUCUUCUGAAACUAACCAUAUAACCCAACAAUUGUACUCCUUGAUAUUUACUGAAAUGAGUUGAAAACUCAUCUCUAAAAACAAACAAAACAAAACAAAACAAAAAACCACCAAAACUCCCUGCACUUGAAUGUUUACAGCAGCUUUAUUCACUAUUGCCAAAACUUGGAAGCAACCAAGAAGUCCUUUAACAGGUGAAUGGAUAAACAAACUGUGGUCCAUCUAAACAAUGGAAUAGCACUCAGUGCUAAAAAGAAAUGAACUAUCAAGCCAUGAAAAGACAUGAAGGAACCUUAAAUGUAUAUUGCAAAGUGAAAGAAGCCAAUCUGAAAAAGCAUCAUAUUGUAGGAUUAAAGCUGUAUGUCAUACUGGGAAAAGCAAAAUAUGCAGACAGUAAAAAGAUCAGUGGUUGCCAGGGGUUUGGGGGGAAGGAGGGAGGAAGGGAAGGAUUUUUAGGGCAGUGAAACCAUUCUGUAUGACACCGUAAUAGUAGAUACAUGUCACUAUACUCUUGUCCAACCCAUGGAAUGCACAUCAAGAGGGAACCCUAAGCAAACUGUGGACUUAUUAAUAAUGUAUCAAUAUUGGUUCAUCAAUAGUAAUAAAUGUACCAGACCAGUGUAAGAUGUUAAUAAUGGGGGAACCUUGGGGGCGGGGGCCGAGGUGCUGGAAACUCUGCACUUUCUGCUCAAUUUUUCAGUAAAUCUAAAACUGCUUUAAAAAUUGCCUAUUAGGGAUGCCUGGAUGGCUCAGUGUUUGAGCGUCUGCCUUCAGCUCAGGGCAUGGUCCCAUGGUCCUAGGGUCCCGGAAUCGAUCCCACAUUGGGCUCCCCUUGCGGAGCCUGCUUCUCCGUCUGCCUGUGUCUCUGCCACUCUCUU